Molecule: unclassified non-coding RNA, 154 nt
Filed under: uncultured Xylariaceae
Lineage: Eukaryota; Fungi; Ascomycota; Sordariomycetes; Xylariales; Xylariaceae
Description: sequence contains ITS2
Source: RNAcentral
CAACCCUUAAGCCCCUGUUGCUUAGCGUUGGGAGCCUACCCGUGCGGUAGCUCCCCAAAGACAGUGGCGGAGUCGGUCGCGAUCCCAGACGUAGUACAUCGUAGCGUCUGCGGUCCGCCUGGCGCCCUGCCGUAAAACACACCACAUCGCUGAA